This is a non-coding RNA of Nicotiana tabacum (common tobacco), 1628 nucleotides long. NCBI's taxonomy places the organism in Eukaryota, Viridiplantae, Streptophyta, Magnoliopsida, Solanales, Solanaceae. The record is from RefSeq and is a predicted model, not a curated record.
GACAGCGGUGUCCGGCGCCAUCACGACCCUUAGUGGAUUUUGGGUCGUGACAGGUAUAAUUCAAGAACUCCUUCCUCUUGCCUUGCGGAGAUCAGUAGAUAAAAUAGUUAGUUCCAUUUUAAUUGAACUAUGAUCAUUCUUUCAUGUUUUGUGUAGCAAAGAACUAAAACUAGAAGAGUUAAAGUUACUUGAAGAAAAAAUUCCAGAAACAUUGUCUACUAUGGAGAAACGUUUCCUUCCAGGAUUCUUUACUAUUAUGAUACAUUUGGUAAUUCACUUGGCAACUGAGGCUAAACUUGUGGGGCCAGUACAUUAUCGCUGGAUGUAUCCAAUUGCGAGGUAUUUGGGUAUUUUAAAACCAUAUGUUCGUAAUCGUGCAUGUAGAAGGUUCAGUAGCAGAAGUAUAUAUAGCAAAUGCGUGUAUGGCAUUUUGCUCACGAUAUUUGGAGGGUGGGGAUUCAAGGUCUUAUUGUUCAAGAAAAUGCGGUGAUGAAAUUGAGCAUGAGACUAGUAAAGAAGAAUGUCUUUUUCCAACUGUUGGUGAGUCGUACGGUGGAGUAGAUGUAUUUGAGUUGGAUGAGAAAACAUGGUUGCAAGCACAUCGACAUGUACUUUUCAAUUGCGAGUCAGAAGUGGUUGAGAAUUAUAAAAAGGAACAUAUUACUGAAAUCAAGAGAUCAUAUCGAAGCGUCGUUUGACACAACAUCAACUUGAUCGUGUGCAUUUCGAUACAUUUCACAAGUGGUUCAAGGAGAAAGUAAAGGAGUUAGAAGCCACAUCUAACAUCUUAAAGGAUAGUAAAGUCCUUGCACAAGGGACGAGUUACAUUGCGAAAAGAUUUAAUACGUUCGAUGUAAAUAAUGAGUUUCGAACGAAGCAAAGUGAAGAAUUUAAGGUGACACAAAAUAGUGGUGUUAUGGUCAUUUCAAAGACUUAAAGUUAUGCAAGUACAAGUGACAAUGCUACGAAGUCUGCAAAUAUCACAUAUUAUGGCAGAUUGAAUGAUAUUGUGGAGUUAAACUACUAUGAAGAAUUUAAGGUUGUAUUAUUUAAGUGUGAUUGGGUUGAUGUAACCAAAGGUAGAGGAGUUAAGGAAGAUGACUUGGGUUUCACACUUGUGAAUUUCUCACGCUUAACAGACUCUGGCGAUCGAGAACGUCAUGAGCCCUUUAUUUUUGCAGAACAAGCUCAACAAGUAAAUUUGUACAAGAUCCUCAAGAUCAUGAAUGGUUUGUCCCUAGGUUAAUUAAACCUCGAGAUAUUUUUAAUAUGGGAGAGGAAAAUAGUUUGCAGUUUGAGUCAUCAAUGCAGAGUGAUGCCACUGACUUGACACUCUUAGAAAAUGCUCGUGUUUCAGAGGAUGAGUAUAAUGAUUGGGUAAGACGUGGUGUCGAUGGGAUAGUAAUUGAUACAAACGUACAUUCUCAAGCUUCUCUAAAUGAUGGUGAAACUAAUAUUGAGAGAGAAAAUGCCAUUAAAAAUGAAUGUGAUUCUGAAUAAGAUAGGUAGAACUUAUAGAGUAUUUUUCUUGCAAGUGUUAUUUAAGAACUUCUAGGGAUUUUUUUAAUUCAGAAAUUUGAAUAAAUAUACUUUUUGCUUUCAAUUUGAGCCAUUUCAUAGAAAAUGCA